This 427-nucleotide ribosomal RNA is filed under the name uncultured bacterium. RNAcentral's name for it is "partial 16S ribosomal RNA". It matches the Rfam family "Bacterial small subunit ribosomal RNA", at positions 355 to 774 of the family's 1533-position model. The record is from RNAcentral.
UGGGGAAUAUUGCACAAUGGGCGCAAGCCUGAUGCAGCCAUGCCGCGUGUAUGAAGAAGGCCUUCGGGUUGUAAAGUACUUUCAGCGGGGAGGAAGGCGAUAAGGUUAAUAACCUUGUCGAUUGACGUUACCCGCAGAAGAAGCACCGGCUAACUCCGUGCCAGCAGCCGCGGUAAUACGGAGGGUGCAAGCGUUAAUCGGAAUUACUGGGCGUAAAGCGCACGCGGGCGGUCUGUCAAGUCGGAUGUGAAAUCCCCGGGCUCAACCUGGGAACUGCAUUCGAAACUGGCAGGCUAGAGUCUUGUAGAGGGGGGUAGAAUUCCAGGUGUAGCGGUGAAAUGCGUAGAGAUCUGGAGGAAUACCGGUGGCGAAGGCGGCCCCCUGGACAAAGACUGACGCUCAGGUGCGAAAGCGUGGGGAGCAAACA